ACCCCUUGACAGAGUGAAGCUGCGGGCCUACGGCAGACCGUCGCCACUCGCCAGACUACCGCUGGACGGCCGCCGGACGCCUGAAGUGCCACCGGACUGCUACGCCGGUGAGCGUGAAGCCGUGACCAGUGACAAAAUGGUGUUCUUCAUUACUGUGAUCUUUUUGGGCAGCCAUCUAUCUUAAACCCCAGGGACUGUCUGAUACAUUGUGUGGCUUACCUUUGUACAUGGCUUCAGAAACAAUUCAGACUAUUCAGUGACAGAAGUAUGACGCAAAGUUCCUCCUCAACAGCUUUUCCAGAGCCAUUUUGAUGCGUAAAGAGUUGCUGUUUCCAACAGAGCUUCUUCAACAGCUCAAUCUGGAUUUGUGUAGACAUCUUUUUCAUUUAGUUUGCUUGUAUCCUUGCUGAUGCAUAAGAUAUUA
This is a long non-coding RNA of Nymphaea colorata (pocket water lily), 424 nucleotides long. RefSeq lists it as uncharacterized. The transcript has 3 exons. The record is from RefSeq and is a predicted model, not a curated record. NCBI's taxonomy places the organism in Eukaryota, Viridiplantae, Streptophyta, Magnoliopsida, Nymphaeales, Nymphaeaceae.